UACAGAGGUGGCAAGCGUUGUUCGGAAUUACUGGGCGUAAAGGGCGCGUAGGCGGUCUUGUCAGUCCCUUGUGAAAUCCCCCGGCUCAACUGGGGAACUGCAAGGGAAACAGCAGGGCUUGAGUGCCGGAGAGGGUGGCGGAAUUCCCGGUGUAGAGGUGAAAUUCGUAGAUAUCGGGAGGAACACCAGUGGCGAAGGCGGCCACCUGGACGGACACUGACGCUGAGACGCGAAAGCGUGGGGAGCAAACAGG
This 253-nucleotide ribosomal RNA is filed under the name uncultured bacterium. RNAcentral's name for it is "partial 16S ribosomal RNA". It matches the Rfam family "Bacterial small subunit ribosomal RNA", at positions 524 to 776 of the family's 1533-position model. The record is from RNAcentral.